Molecule: ribosomal RNA, 189 nt
Filed under: Triticum aestivum (bread wheat)
Lineage: Eukaryota; Viridiplantae; Streptophyta; Magnoliopsida; Poales; Poaceae
Description: partial small subunit ribosomal RNA
Source: RNAcentral
AUGAAGACACCUUUUAAGAAUAGAAUCUUUGUGUGGUGUUUUUAUCGCGGAGUCAUUCUUACUAAAGAUAAUGUUAUUAAGAGGAAUUGGCAUGGAAGUGCAUAUUGUGUUUUUUGUCAACAUGAUGAAACAAUAAAACACUUGUUAUUCCAAUGCAAAUUGGUGGUCAGUUAUCCAAAUAGCUUCUGA